UACGUAGGGGGCAAGCGUUGUCCGGAUUUAUUGGGCGUAAAGAGCGUGUAGGCGGCCUGGUAGGUCAGCUGUGAAAACUCGAGGCUCAACCUCGAGACGCCGGUUGAAACCAUCAGGCUAGAGUCCGGAAGAGGAGAGUGGAAUUCCCGGUGUAGCGGUGAAAUGCACAGAUAUCGGGAAGAACACCCGUGGCUAAGGCGGCUCUCUAGUACGGUACUGACGCUGAGGAGCGAAAGCGUGGGGAGCGAACAGG
Molecule: ribosomal RNA, 253 nt
Filed under: uncultured bacterium
Lineage: Bacteria
Description: partial 16S ribosomal RNA
Rfam family: Bacterial small subunit ribosomal RNA
Source: RNAcentral